ACCUGAUUCUGUGAGGGUUCUCCCUGCUCCUCCUACCCCUCCUUUCCCUGCUCCCUGUUUCCACUUACCUUGUUUGGCUUUUCCUGGGCGGGCCCCAAUCAUGCACCUGCUGAGCUCCACUCCUGAUCCUCAUCUAGCAAUCAUCUCCUACAAUAAAAGACCUGCUGACCUGCUCUACAGUGCCAGAUCGUUCCGUCAUUCCCUGUGCACUUCAUUUGGAGCCAGCCUCAUCCCAUACCCACCUGUUUCUGUAAGCCUCCGGUCAGCCUCCAUCUCCACAGACCUCCCAUCUGCAGCCAACCCGGACCCGUCCUGCCUCCCCUGGAAUCUAUCCCUCCGUCAAGACUAUUUUUGUUAAAUAAAUACUUUUUUCCCUCUGCA
This is a long non-coding RNA of Boleophthalmus pectinirostris (great blue-spotted mudskipper), 381 nucleotides long. RefSeq lists it as uncharacterized. The transcript has 2 exons. The record is from RefSeq and is a predicted model, not a curated record. NCBI's taxonomy places the organism in Eukaryota, Metazoa, Chordata, Actinopteri, Gobiiformes, Gobiidae.